Molecule: ribosomal RNA, 504 nt
Filed under: uncultured bacterium
Lineage: Bacteria
Description: partial 16S ribosomal RNA
Rfam family: Bacterial small subunit ribosomal RNA
Source: RNAcentral
AUUGAACGCUGGCGGCAUGCCUUACACAUGCAAGUCGAACGGCAGCAUGGAGAGCUUGCUCUCUGAUGGCGAGUGGCGAACGGGUGAGUAAUGCAUCGGAACGUACCGUGUAAUGGGGGAUAACGUAGCGAAAGUUACGCUAAUACCGCAUACGACCUGAGGGUGAAAGCAGGGGAUCGCAAGACCUUGCGUUAUACGAGCGGCCGAUGUCAGAUUAGCUAGUUGGUGAGGUAAAGGCUCACCAAGGCGACGAUCUGUAGCGGGUCUGAGAGGACGAUCCGCCACACGGGGACUGAGACACGGCCCAGACUCCUACGGGAGGCAGCAGUGGGGAAUUUUGGACAAUGGGGGCAACCCUGGUCCAGCCAUGCCGCGUGAGUGAAGAAGGCCUUCGGGUUGUAAAGCUCUUUCGGCCGGGAAGAAAUCGCACAGGCUAAUACUCUGUGUGGAUGACGGUACCGGCAUAAGAAGCACCGGCUAACUACGUGCCAGCCGCCGCGGUAA